This 997-nucleotide long non-coding RNA is filed under the name Homo sapiens (human). RNAcentral's name for it is "HSALNT0351049". Lineage: Eukaryota; Metazoa; Chordata; Mammalia; Primates; Hominidae. The record is from RNAcentral.
GGGCUCAACUUCCGCGCUGUGGUUAACUUAGGCUUGCUGGCGCGCAUCUUCUUGUCCUUUGGACACAGGCAUAUCCCAUUCUUUCCGGAGGGGAAAGAUACUCGCGUAGAAGGAGAAAACAGGUGCACAGAACCUUGCCCGGAAGCGCUGGCUGGGGUCCCGCAGGGCUGGACCUGAUGUAGUCCACGCGCCACACGUCCUCCUGGGCGCCGACGCGCACCUAUGGCGGCCUCCGACGCGCGGACGUCAGCGUGGCGUUACCGGGGUGGAGCCUCGGAAUGUACUGGAGAGCCUGGCGAGAAAGUCGGGGCUCGCAGCUCUCCGGCGAUGACAGCGCUGUGUUCCCGUUCUCCCUUCACCCGGUGGCCGGGACCACUGAGCCUCCUUCCCACAAUGGGAGAUCCCGAAUAGGCGAAGAGUAUCUUCGUGUCCCAACCCUUUAACAACUACCGCGCAGGAGCGUGUCAGCCUCUGGAAGCAAAACUGUCCGGUGUUGAGUCACCUACACCCAGCACGUCCCGCCCCGACCCGCCCAAGUGUGCUCUUAAGAUAGGGAGGCACAAAGGUGACCCCAAUAGGAAUCCUGGGCUGGCGGUCCCUCAGAAACUAGAGUUGAUAACAGUUUGGCCAGAACUGAAGUGACUAGAAAUGCAGGUGCCUCCAGCGUCUGAGACUAGAUAAGUUAACUUCCUACAACUUGUUGCUUUUCCUCUGUAACUCCGCCUUCCGAGGUGUCAGAAGGAACCAACCAGACCUUAAGCCCCUGUACUGCCAAAGACAGAUGGUUGAGCAUCAGAUGUUUUGCAAAGCUGAAUGAUUUUUUUUUUAAACUUCCUACAGAGCUCCCAGCUGGGUCCCUUGUGGCGUUUUCUCUAACGUCUUAGCUAAGAAAGAUUGGGCAUAUCUUCACACCAGUGAGCAAAGUUGGGCUAAUAUGCUGAAUUUUCUGUUACAUUAUACUGAUAACAGAAUUUUAAAAAUAUAUCGACACCGCUUA